GCUUUGAUUAUUUUUUAGGUGCAAGCAGAAGAGCCUUUACAAAUCCUUGAGAAAGUAAGUUGCAGAAAACCCUUCUUUCAGCUUCCAUCAUGCCCUAAAGCCACUUGUGGACAAAGUGGUCUGAUGUGGCACGUGUGCUGGGCGUCAGUCACCUGUUCCUUAGCAACUGACACAACAGGGAAGCACCUGUGGCACCAAUUUACUGAAAAGAGUCUUUCACGGGUUUUAAAGCAGCUCGAAACAAAAGCUGCGAGCUGUGUGAGAAACCCCGAAGCUGUGCGAGCACAUAUCUGAUCACAUGCAGUGUCAAAAACCGACAAAUACCCCGAAAUAGCCAUGGAUAUUUGCUUAUGCACGUUUUAUUUUUGGAUGGUGACCUUUGGGUUUAGAUGAUGGAAAACAAGUUCUACUAUAAUAACGUUGCAUGUAGCCUACAAUUUUAAUAGAAUUUAUGUAUUGUAUUUUUUUUUAUUAAAUAAACAAAUCCUGACUAUU
Silurus meridionalis is the source of this 495-nucleotide long non-coding RNA. RefSeq lists it as uncharacterized. The record is from RefSeq and is a predicted model, not a curated record. Lineage: Eukaryota; Metazoa; Chordata; Actinopteri; Siluriformes; Siluridae. The transcript is spliced from 2 exons.